AGAUUGAACGCUGGCGGCAGGCCUAACACAUGCAAGUCGAGCGGUAGAGAGGUGCUUGCAUCUCUUGAGAGCGGCGGACGGGUGAGUAAUGCCUAGGAAUCUGCCUAGUGGUGGGGGAUAACGUUCGGAAACGGACGCUAAUACCGCAUACGUCCUACGGGAGAAAGCGGGGGACCUUCGGGCCUCGCGCCAUUAGAUGAGCCUAGGUCGGAUUAGCUAGUUGGUGAGGUAAUGGCUCACCAAGGCGAACGAUCCGUAACUGGUCUGAGAGGAUGAUCAGUCACA
This 285-nucleotide ribosomal RNA is filed under the name uncultured soil bacterium. RNAcentral describes it as "partial 16S ribosomal RNA". It matches the Rfam family "Bacterial small subunit ribosomal RNA", at positions 26 to 312 of the family's 1533-position model. The record is from RNAcentral.